RNAcentral lists this transfer RNA (75 nucleotides) under Rhizobium phage RHph_Y65. RNAcentral describes it as "tRNA-Asn". It matches the Rfam family "tRNA". Rfam says of the family: Transfer RNA (tRNA) molecules are approximately 80 nucleotides in length. Their secondary structure includes four short double-helical elements and three loops (D, anti-codon, and T loops). Lineage: Duplodnaviria; Heunggongvirae; Uroviricota; Caudoviricetes; Kleczkowskaviridae. The record is from RNAcentral.
UGGUCUAUAGCUCAGCGGCAGAGCAGAGAGCUGUUAACUCUAAGGUCCCUUGUUCGAAUCAAGGUAGAUCAGCCA